CCACCUUUGGACCCUCUCUCAAACUCUCUCGAAGGUUCCCCAGAACUCUAGCCCCUCUCAUCCUCUCCGACCAUAAACCUCACUGGAAUCCAUGGCUUCUCAGGCCAUGGAUGGCCUGUACCAACCUCCAUUGGCCCUUAGACCUUGGUGUUAGAAGUUUCGAGGUCUGACCUCAACAAUGUCUGUUCAGAUCUUCUCAGAUCCGUGGAUUUGAGGCCUCUCCGACCUUGCUCCGGCGUAUCUAAGCGUUAUGAGCCUAUCUAUGACCUUAUCCGGCUCAGGAUCGAGCUUUCCCAGGCCUUUCUCACUCUAGGAUUUUUCUGAUACCCUAGUUACUCGAGGUUCUCUCUAAUUAUUUUUAAGAUCUGGUAUAUGUCUGUGCUCUACCUGAGUUUCUUAAACGUUUUCCCCGAUUUACUUUCACAAAAAAUUGCUCCUAUUCGAUUUUAGGGUUUCUGAAAGGAUUUUUUGGGAAAUAUCUUUCUGAUUCUUCUCCUUCUUUCAUUCAUGUGUGCUUGUACAUACCCUGUGCUUGUGAUCUCUUUUGUUACGCAUGUACUACCUUCUACUUUUUGUUUUCUACUAUGCAUGUUACUCAUGUUAAUCCUUGCUUAGUUUCUUUUACUCUUUUACUAUGUGUGUUCACAGUUAAGUUAUUUGAUUUUUGUUUACUGGACUUUAUUCAUGUUCUUACAUGCUUCGUCUACUUGUGCUCCCAUUUGUAUUUUUCCCUUUCUUCUGAACCUAUUUAGGUUCCGACUUUUCUCAAAUAUAGUCUUCAUGAUUUUUCUCCUUUGUCGUUCAAACUUGCUAUCGUAUCUAUUUUGUUGAGACUCUGAACAAA
RNAcentral lists this long non-coding RNA (844 nucleotides) under Nicotiana benthamiana. Its description in RNAcentral is "long non-coding RNA (NBEN_LNC014526)". The record is from RNAcentral. Lineage: Eukaryota; Viridiplantae; Streptophyta; Magnoliopsida; Solanales; Solanaceae.